Molecule: transfer RNA, 71 nt
Filed under: Bos taurus (domestic cattle)
Lineage: Eukaryota; Metazoa; Chordata; Mammalia; Artiodactyla; Bovidae
Rfam family: tRNA
About the family: Transfer RNA (tRNA) molecules are approximately 80 nucleotides in length. Their secondary structure includes four short double-helical elements and three loops (D, anti-codon, and T loops). Further hydrogen bonds mediate the characteristic L-shaped molecular structure. tRNAs have two regions of fundamental functional importance: the anti-codon, which is responsible for specific mRNA codon recognition, and the 3' end, to which the tRNAs corresponding amino acid is attached (by aminoacyl-tRNA synthetases). tRNAs cope with the degeneracy of the genetic code in two manners: having more than one tRNA (with a specific anti-codon) for a particular amino acid; and 'wobble' base-pairing, i.e. permitting non-standard base-pairing at the 3rd anti-codon position.
Source: Rfam by way of RNAcentral
UCCCUGGUGGCUCAGACGGUAAAGCAUCUGCCUACAAUGUAGGAGACCAGGUUCAAUCCCUGGGUUGGGAA